RNAcentral lists this ribosomal RNA (496 nucleotides) under uncultured bacterium. Its description in RNAcentral is "SSU rRNA". It matches the Rfam family "Bacterial small subunit ribosomal RNA", at positions 26 to 521 of the family's 1533-position model. The record is from RNAcentral.
AGGACGAACGCUGGCGGCGUGCUUAACACAUGCAAGUGGAGCGACGAACCAGGGCUUGCCCUGGGGCAGAGCCGCGAACGGGUGAGUAACACGUGGGUUACCUGCCUCGAUGACCGGUACAACCCGAGGAAACUCGGGCUAAUACCGGAUGUGCCCGCAAGGGGGAAAGGAAGCUUCGGCCUCCGCAUCGAGAUGGGCCCGCGGCCCAUUAGCUUGUUGGUGAGGUAACGGCUCACCAAGGCUUCGAUGGGUAGCUGGUCUGAGAGGACGAUCAGCCACACUGGGACUGAGACACGGCCCAGACUCCUACGGGAGGCAGCAGUGGGGAAUCUUGCGCAAUGCGCGAAAGCGUGACGCAGCAACGCCGCGUGGGGGAAGAAGGCUUUCGGGUUGUAAACCCCUUUCAGUUGGGACGAAGCUUCUUCGGUGAAUAGCCGAACGGAGUGACGGUACCUUCACAAGAAGCACCGGCUAACUACGUGCCAGCAGCCGCGGU